UACGUAGGGUGCGAGCGUUAUUCGGAAUUACUGGGCGUAAAGCGUGCGCAGGCGGUGCGCCAAGCUCGAUGUGAAAGCCCCGGGCUUAACCUGGGAAUUGCAUUGAGGACUGGCGUGCUCGAGUGCGGCAGAGGGGGGUGGAAUUCCACGUGUAGCAGUGAAAUGCGUAGAGAUGUGGAGGAACACCGAUGGCGAAGGCAGCCCCCUGGGCCGACACUGACGCUCAUGCACGAAAGCGUGGGGAGCAAACAGG
Molecule: ribosomal RNA, 253 nt
Filed under: uncultured bacterium
Lineage: Bacteria
Description: partial 16S ribosomal RNA
Rfam family: Bacterial small subunit ribosomal RNA
Source: RNAcentral